This 315-nucleotide unclassified non-coding RNA is filed under the name Athalia rosae (coleseed sawfly). RNAcentral's name for it is "misc RNA ENSAEAG00005000842.1". The record is from RNAcentral. Lineage: Eukaryota; Metazoa; Arthropoda; Insecta; Hymenoptera; Athaliidae.
UGUCAACCGUAUAAACGUACGUCAAUUAUACGGAAAUGGACUGUUGGCGAUUUUAUUAAUUUUUAUACGAAAGAAAUACAAUUUAUUAUCGAGUAAACAGGAGCGGGAAGAUAUUUUUAUACAUGGAAUUGAUCAACGACGCUGCAUUUCCAUCAGUGAGAUGAAGAGGCGAUCGAUGAGUUGGACGCAUCGACGAUGGGAUUUCUCCGUUUCGACCGCCCUAAUCGUUCUAACGCUCGCGAUAUUCUCAUCCGCAACCUCGACGGGAUCCGACGAUCGUCGACUCGGCAACGACUCACGCGGUUCUCCGAAGGG